UACAGAGGCCCCAAGCAUUAUCCGGAAUCACUGGGCGUAAAGGGUGUCAAGGCGGUCAUGUUAGUCGUUCGUAAAAUCCGUGGGCUCAACCUACGGCUCGCGAGCGAAACGGCAUGACUUGAGGUUGGAAGAGGUGCGUGGAACUCACGGUGUAGGGGUGAAAUCCGUUGAUAUCGUGGGGAACACCAAAGGCGAAGGCAGCGCACUGGUCCAAAUCUGACGCUCACACACGAAAGCCAGGGUAGCGAACGGG
Molecule: ribosomal RNA, 253 nt
Filed under: uncultured prokaryote
Description: partial 16S ribosomal RNA
Rfam family: Bacterial small subunit ribosomal RNA
Source: RNAcentral